AUCACUCGAUGUUCUCACCGAAAGCACGUAAUCGCCGGUGUAACUCAUGUUGGCUGGGGGGCCUCCCGGCGCACGGCGAGGAUGGGGUGCGCUCAG
Loxodonta africana (African savanna elephant) is the source of this 96-nucleotide long non-coding RNA. It matches the Rfam family "HOXA11 antisense RNA 1 conserved region 1". NCBI's taxonomy places the organism in Eukaryota, Metazoa, Chordata, Mammalia, Proboscidea, Elephantidae. The record is from Rfam.